This 253-nucleotide ribosomal RNA is filed under the name uncultured bacterium. Its description in RNAcentral is "partial 16S ribosomal RNA". It matches the Rfam family "Bacterial small subunit ribosomal RNA", at positions 524 to 776 of the family's 1533-position model. The record is from RNAcentral.
UACAGAGGGUGCGAGCGUUGUCCGGAAUCACUGGGCGUAAAGGGCGCGUAGGCGGCUCAGUAAGGUUGCGGUGAAAGCCCGGGGCUCAACCCCGGGUCGGCCGUGGCAACUGCUGGGCUGGAGCACUGUAGAGGCAGGUGGAAUUCCGGGUGUAGCGGUGGAAUGCGUAGAGAUGUGGAGGAACACCGAUGGCGAAGGCAGCCUCCUGGGCCAGCACUGACGCUCAUGCACGAAAGCGUGGGGAGCAAACAGG